GACGAAGGAUGCAAGCGUUAUCCGGAUUCAUUGGGUUUAAAGGGCGCGUAGGCGGAUUUGUAAGUCAGUGGUGAAAUCUCUUCGCUUAACGAAGAAACUGCCAUUGAUACUGCAGAUCUUGAGUACAGUUGCCGUUGGCGGAAUAUGACAUGUAGUGGUGAAAUACUUAGAUAUGUCAUAGAACACCGAUUGCGAAGGCAGCUAACGAAGCUGUAACUGACGCUGAGGCUCGAAAGUGCGGGGAUCAAACAGG
This 253-nucleotide ribosomal RNA is filed under the name uncultured bacterium. RNAcentral's name for it is "partial 16S ribosomal RNA". It matches the Rfam family "Bacterial small subunit ribosomal RNA", at positions 524 to 776 of the family's 1533-position model. The record is from RNAcentral.